Molecule: ribosomal RNA, 465 nt
Filed under: uncultured Neisseria sp.
Lineage: Bacteria; Pseudomonadati; Pseudomonadota; Betaproteobacteria; Neisseriales; Neisseriaceae
Description: bacterial SSU rRNA
Rfam family: Bacterial small subunit ribosomal RNA
Source: RNAcentral
CCUACAGGAGGCAGCAGUGGGGAAUUUUGGACAAUGGGCGCAAGCCUGAUCCAGCAAUGCCGCGUGUCUGAAGACGGCCUUCGGGUUGUAAAGGUCUUUUGUCAGGGAAGAAAAGGCUGUUGCUAAUAUCGACAGCUGAUGACGGUAGCUGAAGAAUAAGCACCGGCUAACUACGUGCCAGCAGCCGCGGUAAUACGGAGGGUGUGAGCGUUAAUCGGAAUUACUGGACGUAAAGCGAGCGCAGACGGUUACUUAAGCAGGAUGUGAAAUCCCCGGGCUCAACCUGGGAACUGCGUUCUGAACUGGGUGACUAGAGUGUGUCAGAGGGAGGUAGAAUUCCACGUGUAGCUGUGAAAUGCGUAGAGAUGUGGAGGAAUACCGAUGGCGAAGGCAGCCUCCUGGGAUAACACUGACGUUCAUGCUCGAAAGCGUGGGUAGCAAACAGGAUUAGAUACCCCGGUAGUC